UCACCGCAUUACAUAAGAAAGCCUGAAGACACAAAAACAUCUGAUGUACAGAACAGAGUAGAGCUGUAAUUGCACUGAAGGAGUUUUAUAUGCACUAAUAAGAUGAACCUGAAUAUGUCUGUCCUGAAGUCAACCUAAUGGACCCGAGACAAACAUAGAAGGGUUACUCAUCUAUGCUUAAAACUAUCUGUUAAAGAAACUGCUUAUACUUUUAGGGUUAUUCCACAUGGUUGUCAUUUGAUGAAACAUGGCACAACAACAGCUGGGUUUUCACAAUCUAACAAAUAAAAU
Non-coding RNA from Poecilia reticulata (guppy), 291 nucleotides. Lineage: Eukaryota; Metazoa; Chordata; Actinopteri; Cyprinodontiformes; Poeciliidae. The record is from RefSeq and is a predicted model, not a curated record.